RNAcentral lists this ribosomal RNA (403 nucleotides) under uncultured Campylobacter sp. Its description in RNAcentral is "bacterial SSU rRNA". It matches the Rfam family "Bacterial small subunit ribosomal RNA", at positions 355 to 774 of the family's 1533-position model. Lineage: Bacteria; Pseudomonadati; Campylobacterota; Epsilonproteobacteria; Campylobacterales; Campylobacteraceae. The record is from RNAcentral.
UAGGGAAUAUUGCUCAAUGGGGGAAACCCUGAAGCAGCAACGCCGCGUGGAGGAUGACACUUUUCGGAGCGUAAACUCCUUUUCUUGGGAAAGAAUUAUGACGGUACCCAAGGAAUAAGCACCGGCUAACUCCGUGCCAGCAGCCGCGGUAAUACGGAGGGUGCAAGCGUUACUCGGAAUCACUGGGCGUAAAGGACGCGUAGGCGGAUUAUCAAGUCUCUUGUGAAAUCUAACGGCUUAACCGUUAAACUGCUUGGGAAACUGAUAAUCUAGAGUAAGGGAGAGGCAGAUGGAAUUCUUGGUGUAGGGGUAAAAUCCGUAGAGAUCAAGAAGAAUACCCAUUGCGAAAGCGAUCUGCUGGAACUUAACUGACGCUAAUGCGUGAAAGCGUGGGGAGCAAACA